GGCAACGGAUAUCUCGGUUCUCGCAUCGAUGAAGAACGUAGCGAAAUGCGAUACUUGGUGUGAAUUGCAGAAUCCCGUGAACCAUCGAGUCUUUGAACGCAAGUUGCGCCCGAAGCCAUUAGGUCGAGGGCACGUCUGCCUGGGCGUCACGCAUCGCGUCGCCCC
This 165-nucleotide ribosomal RNA is filed under the name Markea ulei. RNAcentral describes it as "5.8S ribosomal RNA". The stretch from base 2 to 149 matches the Rfam family "5.8S ribosomal RNA". From Rfam's summary of the family: 5.8S ribosomal RNA (5.8S rRNA) is a component of the large subunit of the eukaryotic ribosome. It is transcribed by RNA polymerase I as part of the 45S precursor that also contains 18S and 28S rRNA. Functionally, it is thought that 5.8S rRNA may be involved in ribosome translocation. Lineage: Eukaryota; Viridiplantae; Streptophyta; Magnoliopsida; Solanales; Solanaceae. The record is from RNAcentral.